Molecule: ribosomal RNA, 512 nt
Filed under: uncultured bacterium
Lineage: Bacteria
Description: partial 16S ribosomal RNA
Rfam family: Bacterial small subunit ribosomal RNA
Source: RNAcentral
GAUGAACGCUGGCGGCGUGCCUAAUACAUGCAAGUCGAACGAAACUCCCGUAGCACCGUGUGCUUGCAGUCAGGCGUGGGGGGGUGUGUGGCGAACGUGCGAUUAACACGUGGGCAACCGGUCCAAACGACGGUGAUAACCCUGGGGCACAGGUGCUAAUACCGGAUAACCAUAGUUACCGGAUCGUAACUAUGUAAAACGUGGCUGUACUACCGUUUCUUGCUGGGCCCGCGGCGCAUUAGCUAGUUGGUAGGGUGAAGGGUUACCAAGGCAAUGAUGCGUAGCUGAAUUGAGAGGUGGAUAGGCCAGAUUGCGAGGGAGACACGGCCCAAACUGCGACGGGAGGCAGCAGUAGGGAAGCUUCCACAAUGGGCGAGAGCCUGAUGGAGCAACGCCGCGUGGGUGAAGAAGGUCUUCGGAUCGUAAAACCCUGUUGUUAGGGAAGAAAGUGCGUGAGAGUAACUGCUCACGUUUCGACGGUAUCUAGCGAGAAAGCCACGGCUAACUACGUG